Molecule: long non-coding RNA, 3418 nt
Filed under: Citrus x clementina
Lineage: Eukaryota; Viridiplantae; Streptophyta; Magnoliopsida; Sapindales; Rutaceae
Description: Citrus clementina (C. clementina) long non-coding RNA (CCLE_LNC000311)
Source: RNAcentral
UAGGCAAUGAUCCAAUUAAAUUUUUUAUUUUUUUAAAAUAAAUUAACUAGUGAUACCACAGUAACAGUAAUCAUAGACACUAAUAAAAUCUCAAUAACUACUAACACUAUGGUGUCAUAAUAUCGGUGAUACUGUAGUAAUAGUAAUCACUGACACCACUUACAAGUGUCACUAUUUUUCUGACUCCCAGAUUACUGACACAAUUAACAAGUGUCAGUGAAAGUAAUUUCUGACACUAUUCUAAAGUCAGUAAAGACCAUUUUUCUAGUAGUGAGAGCUCCUUUGGCCAAUGUGAGUACAGUAGUUUGAGUUUCCAUACUCAAUUUCUCUCCCAACUGAAGAAUAAUUGAGUGGAAGCAGCAUUUUUCUUUAUAAAAUGUAUGAAAUGUGACGGAGUAAACAUCCCUCAAUUAUUAGUGAGAGAAGAAAAUUUAUAUAAUACUUCAUAAAAUUUAACAUAAACUAGUUUCUAUAAUAAUCUAACUAUAAAUAUAAAUAGCUGUACAAUUGAAAUAUCAGUAUAAAAGAAAAAAAGGGUAACGAAUGAAGACCCAAAAUACAAACUUGAUAAUUUACUGUAUGGUUGACCAAUGCAAAGACAUUUUGUCUUUCUAGUUCUAGGCCAUGGAAUAUACAACUUAGGUUGGGUAAGGAAUGUCAUGCGUCGACUAAUCCAAAUCCCGAUAACAGUGCGCUCCACCUCCACGUCCAUUUUGUGCUUCAUGCCAAUAUAUAUAUAUAUAGUCAAAAGUCUUGGCAAUUUUCUUCACUGCUUUUGGUUGGGAUUUGUAACCGAAUCUGCCUAUGUAUUAACCGAGAUGGUAAAAACCUCAACGUCCGUUUUUUAUUCUAAAUUACUGCAUAUAGAGGGUUUAUUCAACUUACAAAUAUGCUUCUGAGCAUGCAUCUUGGUUAUGACUAUUUUGCCUCCAAACAAAAUGUUGCUCCAUGCUUGCAUGUUGGUGAUUAUCCGCUGAAGUACUCUUCGUAAAUGUACAUGCGUACAAAAUCUCCAUUUUCUUUUUUUAGUUUUAAGUUCAAGAACUUCAAUCUUAAGAUUAUAAAUCAUGCCUUUCUUUUUUUACUAUAAAUUUUUUCAAUAAGAAACAUCAAACCAACAUUUUUUUCCUUCAUUCAAUACAGUUGCAUAUUCUUUCGAUAUGAAUUUAAUUAGUUGCGUUUCAAGAAUAUUUUACAUAAGUGGUUAUCAUAAAUAAUGAAUGAUAACUAAAAAUUAAUUUUUUUAAUUUUUUUGUCAACAGAAACAAUCAUGCGUGGUGGAAACCCGGCCCAGUUAUUCCAUAUAAAUAAAAAUGUAUGUUUUCUAUUUUCUCUUUAAGGUUAAACUUCUACUACUGGCUAAUUAUGGUUGGUUAAAAUUAUACUCUUUUUUAAGAGUAAUUAUAUGAUAGUCCACAUGGAUUUUACUUAAGCUACGAGAGAGACAUCACAGAGUGGUUCAUUAAUAGGGGUGGGCUACAUUAUUAUGUUAAUUUUAGGUAUUUUCCAGACUUAGUGAGGGAUUAAUGUCAUUUGCACAAACUAAAUGGGGUCCAAAGUGUCGGUCAAGCUGCAUGCAUGCUAGCUGAUUCUUGCUCUGAGUAAGUAGGUCUUUAGAAAGUGAUUGUUUUGAUCAAUAAAGCAUGCUCAAGUAUGCGACCUUUUCACAUGCAACCCAACUUACUACUUGCCUUUCCUUUACCCCAUUUGAAGGUCUCUAAUUCUAACGUGCAAGAUGGAUGUUUCAAACUUCAUAAAAUAUUAGUAAAAUAAUUAAGAAAAGUUACUUCCUAGAAUUGAAUAUAUUAAAAAGGAUACCUUUGAGUUUGAAAAGCUGAAGUAGGAUUGUGGAACAUAUCAUUAUAUUUUGGCGUAAAAUGUAUGCAUAUGCACAUGGCUUAGAUAAUGACAUCCCAUAGUAUUUGUGUAUUUAUAGGGUAACAUGACCUUUUUAUGUAUUUGAAAAAGAAUGAGAGAAUUAAAGUGAUGAUCAAAUGUACACACAUAUAUAUAUUGUGUACGUUAUAAUUCUAAUAGAAGAAAAUAUUGUAAAACUUAUUAUACAUUUGUAAAGAUAAAGCGUCGGAAAAUUAUGCUAAAAUAAUUGUAUUGGGAUGAUGGGUACUGACAAUGGAAAGAUCAUGCGAAUGAUAUGUGUGAUCAUUUAUGUUUCAAGCAAUCAUAUGGUGCAAGUUAUUAUUCUAUUAAAAGCCUUUUUGAAGUUUGGAUAAAGUUAUUGAGAAGCAUUCAUUCUCAUGAUUCUAGAGAUUGAUUUCAUUAAUACGUGAUUCAUCUGUGUAACAAAAUCAUUUUGGACUCAAAAGUUUGCAGUUUUUCUCCUUUUUUUCUCUGUGGCUAUCUGUAUUAGAAUUAAUUGUUGGAGAAGUGGAAGACUGAAAAAAUCAAUUGAAAUUAGAAAUUGAAAUCCUAAAUUAUCAUUAUGUUACACAACUUAUGGUUGUUUUUUUUUUUUUAUCCCUUUUUACACAAGCCAUCUAACUCUGUUCCAAUUAACAAACACAAUUUAAAGAACUUCUGAAGGAGAAUUGAUCCAUUGCCACCGACUGCACUAUCCUCCUUAGGAAUAAUAUAUGUAACUGCACUUUCAAGAUUGCAUGUGAAAAUCUUUGUAUUAUAUAUGAUAACUAUAAUUCUGAUUAUGAUUAGAAGGUGUAUUUAGCUAUAAAUCAAAUAAAGUAGAUCUAUUGAAAAACAAAGACUGUGAGAAAGUUAUUCAAGAAGAACUUGCCAAUUAUGGCUAUCAAGUUCCUCAUGAUCAUGCCAAUUAUUAUUACGUAAUACAUGCACUGUGUAGCUCUAUAUAUGUAUUAAAAGUGCUAUCAUUAUAAUCAACACUCAACUACCCAAAAAAUAUUAAUUAAGAACAUCUUUCAAGAAUUGUGUUUGUUGACUGAAAAUUAACAGGAUGCAAGGACAAAACUGAAAUUAAAUAUAUAUUUAAGAGAUUAAUUUGUCAUCGUAAGACCUAAUAAACUAAGAGAAACAUGAACAUUAAUAAUUACUUGAGUAUACAAGCAUGAUAGUCAUUGAUUGUUUAUGGGAUGCAUGUAUAUCUCUGUAUCCUUUCAUAAUUACUAAGAAAAGUACGUUUUUAAACGUGCUACUUUGUCUAUCUUUCUUAAUAAUAUGAUUUUUAAUCCUUGGGAUACAUAUUGAGAUAAGAGAGGUGUUGAAUUCUAUGUUUUUAAUAUGUAGUUAAAAGAAAAUUUUUCAGUUCAGACUUCUAACCAAGGACUAAAAUUUGGGAGGAGUUGACAUUGGUAUUAACAUAUUUUUAUAAUGUUGCCAAACAGUUUGCAAUGAUAUAAAAAUAUAUUCACAUUAUUAUCAAUCGAUCCUAAACUUUAAUUGAGUUCAAGGUCCUACAAUAGAUAACCACUCUACAGUUAUAUAUAUA